This is a long non-coding RNA of Sus scrofa (pig), 815 nucleotides long. RefSeq annotates it as small integral membrane protein 26. The record is from RefSeq and is a predicted model, not a curated record. Lineage: Eukaryota; Metazoa; Chordata; Mammalia; Artiodactyla; Suidae.
GCAGGAAGCGGCUUCCCAUUGAAGCGGACGGCGGCCCCUUGACACGCCGAGCGGAAGGCCCGUCUCCGCCUGGCACUUCACAGGAGCUAGGUCGUCCCUGGCGUCGCCAUGCGUCCGGAGAGGGCCCUGGUUUGGUACCGGCGGAUGUCUGUGGUCUACGGUUUGGGCGCCUGGACCCUGCUUGGCUCAUUAUUCCUCUGGAGUCAGAAAAAGAACAAGCUGCCAGGUGGUGAAGUUGAGAAUAUGUCAAAAGUUGAACUAUCUGAGGCCCCGAAAGGGUUUUAUGUGGAAACGGUUGUCACCUAUAAAGAAGAUUUUGUUCCCAUUACUUCAAGGAUUGUCAACUAUUUGAAAUCCUGGACUGGUGGCCCUGGACCCAAAUCAUGAUUGACUGCUGAUUCUGAAAACAAGACUUUAGUUCAGCAUAUAAAUUUGAUGGAUACCUUGAUGCCCAUUUUCUGUUGGUGAAAAGUGUAUAUAUUUAGUUUAAUUUUGCUGUAAAAUAGAAUCACUAAUAAUAUGCAGUAAAUAUUUCCUUGAGGAAAAGUAAAUUUGCAUAUUCAAGUGGUAUCCUAUACUCACAAGCGUGAAAGAUUGAAAUUUCUUAGUUAGGUUCCGUAAGCUCGGCUUUCUAAAAUUCAUUCAUGUAACUUUAUAUUUCUUUCAUGUUGCAAUCAGAAACAGCUUUCGUGGUCCCUUUAAGAUUAGAUUCAGCAGAUCUCCAUGUUCAGUGUGGGACUUAAGAGUGGCCUUUUUGGGGACUAUUGGAUGCUUGCUAAAUAUGUUAUGAAUUAGAUUAUAACACCUGUGCUAAA